RNAcentral lists this long non-coding RNA (3017 nucleotides) under Homo sapiens (human). RNAcentral's name for it is "HSALNT0144689". The record is from RNAcentral. Lineage: Eukaryota; Metazoa; Chordata; Mammalia; Primates; Hominidae.
UUUAGGAGGCUAUAGAUGCACUACAGUAGAUGAAAGUGGAGUUGGUAUCAGGCCUUGUGAACUCUGAUCAGAGCUGUGACAGACAGAAGGAAAAUGAGCAUUUUGCCACCUGAAGGGCAAAAGGACAUCCUGUGUAAACAAGGCUUCUCUUUUUCAUUUUUAUUUUGUAGAAGACCAUCCACAUAGGUCACAUGAACUUAUGUCCUGAGCGGUGCCUCUGUCAUGUUCUCUGUUUAUGAUCAGGAAGGUCUGGCCUCCGCCUCUACUCUUUCAGUCCUAACUGUGAUUAGAAAAAUCCAGUGGGCACUGAAGCUGGGAAAUGAAAUGACUUCUCCAAGCAUCUGAUUCCACCUGCUGUCCCUAUGUUCCCUCUGUAAAUGCACCCAGCACCUAAGUGUCAGAAAACGCACUGCAUCUGGGAUAUAGCAACUCAUUCAUGCUACCUAGAAAGAGUCCACCAAUAUUGGAAUGAAACUAUCCACAUCAGCUGCGUGACUUUAAGGUGGUUAUUUACCAUCUCUGAUCCUCAAUUUCUUCAUCUGAGUGUGUGUGUAAGAGAGAGAGGUAUUUUCUUUGAUAUAUUAUCAUACAAAGCUAUUAGAUGACAUAAUUUUAGUCAGGGUAUCUGGCUCAUAAGUUUAACAAAUAGCUAUCAUUCAUAAAUCAUGUGUAAUUGAGGCAAAAACGAAAAGAUGGAAUAAGUCAAAUGGAAGCUUGGCCAAUAUUUGAUUGUUUGUUUUAUGUAAUUAUAACGUAUCAGGAUAUCAGUGUCCUGGUUCCCCAUUCUAGUCCAACCCAGAAAGUGUGUAAUGAAUACCUACAAAGUGUCAGGCACUAAGCAAAGUAAAAAUCAAACCAAAUAAGGCAAAACUCACACUCUCUGUCCAGAAGGAAGAUAAGGCCAGAUAUGAAAAACACAAGUGAGUGGAGUCCAUGAUAGAACUAGGUACAAAUUUCAGUGAUGGCAGAAAGGAUGGAGGAGAUUCUUCUAUAUGAGUAAGUCAGGUUUCAGUUCAUUUGCUGUUUCUCCUCGAAUGCUGACUCAUCCCUUGUUCUUUAUGCAGAAUUCUGACUUGUUGGCUGUAACCCUUGCCUAGAUUCACAUGCUUAUUAUUUUUUAAAUUAUCAGUCAUGGCUGGUUCUGGGUCUGUGUUGACGUAACUGAUGCAUAUAUCAACCUGAAAGCACUUGUCUAGAGUGAGAUACCACCUGUGUUCUUUCCUGAGUUGUGAAAUGCCAUGUAGAGGCAAAGUCAUGGUUAAAUGGGACCUUUAGGAGCAACUGAGCAAACAUUGGAUGUCUAACUUCCAAAGAGACAAAGCAUCUCCCAAUAUUCCCAAGGCCAUAUAGAGACAGAGUCAAAUAAUGAGAAUGCUUAGAAUGUAGAGACCAAUGGCCAUUUGUAGAGACCAAUGGCCAUCUAUUUCUGCACACUUGACCACACAACUAAAAAGUUUGAGAUUAUUGAACUGCUAUUUGAGGGAAAAACAAUAUAAUAAUAAUCCUAUAAUAGGUACAUUUAAUUAAACUUUUCUGAUAUUGAAUUUACUGGUUUUCUUCACAAUUGGAAGAUAAAGUGGUGUCAUUAACACCUUUUUAAUUAAUACUAUUCAGGGAAAUUAUGUACGUUCAACUUAAUAGUUAAAGGUAAAACCUAAAUUCCCAAUCAUAUCUAUCCAAUUCCAUACUCUUUCUAUAAGUUUCUGCUUUCAAAAUAGUCUACACAAUAUAAGAUAAUGACUCCAAGGAGCUAGCAGAGAUUUCAAAACUCUAUUAUUUACAUCACACUGUAAUAACAGCUAAGCAUGUCUCUAGAAAACGCCCUUGGUUUGAGACUAACUUACAUAGGAGAGAGUCAUAUGAAGGAUUUACAUCCAUUUUUAUUUAAGUAAAUGAAGAGAGGGUUUUCACUAAUAUUUGGAUUGUACUUCAAGUUACACCAUAGAUGUAUCUGGUCAUGGAAAAGUAGGAAAGCAAGCAAUAUGUAUAAAAUUGCAAUAAAAGACAGGUAGAACAGCAUCAAGAAUGGAACUGUUUUCAGAAACGUGACCUGGACAUGGCUUUGCCCAACUCAGAACCUCAUAGUCUAAGAGACUAGAAACAUCAUCACAGACCUAGCUGUGCCCCUCUCUGAAUCUUUACUUUCCUCUCUUAAAACAAUAAUAAAUGUGGGGACAUUUCUUCCUGUCUUGCUUUCCCCUAAGAAUCAUUAACAAAAUCCAGAGAUAUGGUGGAUAUAACAUUAUAAAGGAUGGGAAAAUGCUUGGUAAAUUGUAUAUGGCUACAUAAACAUAAGGAGUUAUUAUUAUGUUGAUUAUCAUUGGUGACAGCACGGACAAAUGUGCUAAUUAUACCCAUAAAAUGAAGAUGCAAAUGCUUUACUCUGGACUUUUAAGAGAGGCUUAUUCUUCUCCUAAAAAGAGUGAUUAUAAGCACAAAAUAUUACUUUUUAUUAGUACUGCAGUAACUGUUCCAUGUAAUAUUAAUAACAAUAAUAAAAUGUAAGCCACUUCUACAUUAUUUUCAGGGAGAAAAGAACACAAGAGCUAAAAAGUUGUAUGAGUAGGAACUUGUCCCUUUUAAUGAUAUCUGUAAAAAUGCAAUAGAUGUUGCAAUAAAUCUCUGUCUCCCUCCAACAUCCCCUAUUUUGCAUUUUCUCUCAAUCAUACUUGCCUACUUUUGUUUGGCAUCAUUUGUGACCUCGGUGGAUAUAUUAAUAAAAGUAGCCACAAUAAGCCCUGUAGCUAAUUUUCUGUAUUAUCCAACUGACACAUUUCCCUCAAAUUGUCCCAGACCUGUCCAUUGGUAUUUAUUACUACAUUUGGCUGGAACCCUUGGAUAUAUUUUGAUUGCAUAUGACAAGGUUCCCUUCAAGGGUCCUGUUUAGUUUGGUUUGCACAUGCACCUACCGAAACUACUACCUAGAAAAACUACGAGAAUUCCAUAUUUCUACACUGUUUGUCACAAGCUAUGCUCCUGCAGCUGGGAGAAAUUUGGUAAGAAAACAUAUCUGCCUU